This 301-nucleotide ribosomal RNA is filed under the name uncultured bacterium. RNAcentral describes it as "partial 16S ribosomal RNA". It matches the Rfam family "Bacterial small subunit ribosomal RNA", at positions 509 to 808 of the family's 1533-position model. The record is from RNAcentral.
CAGCCGCCGCGGGAAUACGAAGGGGGCUAGCGUUGCUCGGAAUGACUGGGCGUAAAGGGCGCGUAGGCGGCGAUCAAAGUCAGGCGUGAAAUUCCUGGGCUCAACCUGGGGGCUGCGCUUGAUACUUGGUUGCUUGAGUGGGGAAGAGGGUCGUGGAAUUCCCAGUGUAGAGGUGAAAUUCGUAGAUAUUGGGAAGAACACCGGUGGCGAAGGCGGCGACCUGGUCCUUGACUGACGCUGAGGCGCGAAAGCGUGGGGAGCAAACAGGAUUAGAUACCCCGUAGUCCCUGUCUCUUAUACA